ACUUCAGGGGGAGUAUGGUCACAAGGCUGAAACUUAAAGGAAUUGACGGAAGGGCACACCAGGAGUGGAGCCUGCGGCUUAAUUUGACUCAACACGGGAAAACUUACCAAGACCGUACAUUAAAAGGAUUGACAGAUUAAUAGUUUUUUCAUGAUAUAAUGGUGAGUGGUGCAUGGCCGUUCUUAGUUGGUGGAGUGAUUUGUCUGGUUAAUUCCGAUAACGAACGAGACUUUAUCUUAUUAAUUGGUUUAGUAAGAGUUUACUUUUACUAAAAUAUUUAUAUACUAUUUAAAAGGACAGACUCUUAUUUUGAAUCAAUUUAAUUAAUGAAUUGGUUUAAAGAAAGAGGAGGAAGCAUGAAGCAAUAACAGGUCUGUGAUGCCCUUAGACAUCUU
Molecule: ribosomal RNA, 395 nt
Filed under: Entamoeba polecki
Lineage: Eukaryota; Evosea; Mastigamoebida; Endamoebidae
Description: bacterial SSU rRNA
Rfam family: Eukaryotic small subunit ribosomal RNA
Source: RNAcentral